CCUACGGGUGGCAGCAGUGAGGAAUAUUGGUCAAUGGACGAGAGUCUGAACCAGCCAAGUAGCGUGAAGGAUGACUGCCCUAUGGGUUGUAAACUUCUUUUAUAUGGGAAUAAAAUGUUCCACGUGUGGGAUUUUGUAUGUACCCUAUGAAUAAGGAUCGGCUAACUCCGUGCCAGCAGCCGCGGUAAUACGGAGGAUCCGAGCGUUAUCCGGAUUUAUUGGGUUUAAAGGGAGCGUAGGUGGAUUGUUAAGUCAGUUGUGAAAGUUUGCGGCUCAACCGUAAAAUUGCAGUUGAAACUGGCAGUCUUGAGUACAGUAGAGGUGGGCGGAAUUCGUGGUGUAGCGGUGAAAUGCUUAGAUAUCACGAAGAACUCCGAUUGCGAAGGCAGUUCACUGGACGGCAACUGACACUGAGGCUCGAAAGUGUGGGUAUCAAACAGGAUUAGAUACCCUAGUAGUC
Molecule: ribosomal RNA, 460 nt
Filed under: uncultured bacterium
Lineage: Bacteria
Description: partial 16S ribosomal RNA
Rfam family: Bacterial small subunit ribosomal RNA
Source: RNAcentral